CAGAAGAAGUAGAAGAGGACAGCAAGGACUGGGCAAACAAUUGAGAGAAUGUGGUGUAAGAAAGUAAGUUGUUCUUUUAGAAGAAGCAGAAGAAGUAGAAGAAGAAACAGUAGAAGUUGAAGAGGACAGCAAGGAGUGGGCAAACAAUUGAGAGAAUGUGGCGUAAGAAAGCCGGCGGAGGAUUGCAUGGAGGACUGACGCUGGCAUAGAUGGAUGGUCCAGGACAGAGAGUGUGCUGACAACCAGUGAAUACGGGCCAUCGUUGCAGAAAGGACGUGUCAACGCGUCGCCGCCGCGUCAAAGUGUCAUCUCCGCUCUGGCGUCUGGGCCCGGCGGGCUCCGCCACUUGGGCGCUACUUUGACGUCCCCUGGCGACCAGGAUGACGGAACCUGAG
Molecule: long non-coding RNA, 395 nt
Organism: Syngnathus acus (greater pipefish)
Lineage: Eukaryota; Metazoa; Chordata; Actinopteri; Syngnathiformes; Syngnathidae
Exons: 3
Source: RefSeq, a predicted model, not a curated record